GAUCAUGGCUCAGGACGAACGCUGGCGGCGCGCCUAACACACGCAAGUCGAACGAGAGAGAGGGAGCUUGCUUCUUCGAUCGAGUGGCGAAUGGGUGAGUAACGCGUGAGGAACCUGCCUCAAAGAGGGGGACAACAGUUGGAAACGACUGCUAAUACCGCAUAAGCCCACGGGUCGGCAUCGACCUGAGGGAAAAGGAGAAAUCCGCUUUGAGAUGGCCUCGCGUCCGAUUAGCUAGUUGG
Molecule: ribosomal RNA, 242 nt
Filed under: uncultured bacterium
Lineage: Bacteria
Description: partial 16S ribosomal RNA
Rfam family: Bacterial small subunit ribosomal RNA
Source: RNAcentral